AUAAAGGUUAUAAUCCUUUUCUUUUUA
RNAcentral lists this transfer RNA (27 nucleotides) under Drosophila immigrans. RNAcentral describes it as "partial tRNA-Met". The record is from RNAcentral. Lineage: Eukaryota; Metazoa; Arthropoda; Insecta; Diptera; Drosophilidae.